This 74-nucleotide transfer RNA is filed under the name Anguilla anguilla (European eel). RNAcentral's name for it is "tRNA-OTHER". The record is from RNAcentral. Lineage: Eukaryota; Metazoa; Chordata; Actinopteri; Anguilliformes; Anguillidae.
GGCACGGUGGUGCAGUGGGUAGCACUGUCGCCUCUAAGCAAGAAGGUCUGGGAUUCGAAUCCUGGCCUGUGCCU